Molecule: ribosomal RNA, 416 nt
Filed under: uncultured bacterium
Lineage: Bacteria
Description: bacterial SSU rRNA
Rfam family: Bacterial small subunit ribosomal RNA
Source: RNAcentral
UUAACCGGAUUAGAUACCCUGGUAGUCCACGCCGUAAACGAUGUCGACUUGGAGGUUGUGCCCUUGAGGCGUGGCUUCCGGAGCUAACGCGUUAAGUCGACCGCCUGGGGAGUACGGCCGCAAGGUUAAAACUCAAAUGAAUUGGCGGGGGCCCGCACAAGCGGUGGAGCAUGUGGUUUAAUUCGAUGCAACGCGAAGAACCUUACCUGGUCUUGACAUCCACGGAAGUUUUCAGAGAUGAGAAUGUGCCUUCGGGAACCGUGAGACAGGUGCUGCAUGGCUGUCGUCAGCUCGUGUUGUGAAAUGUUGGGUUAAGUCCCGCAACGAGCGCAACCCUUAUCCUUUGUUGCCAGCGGUCCGGCCGGGAACUCAAAGGAGACUGCCAGUGAUAAACUGGAGGAAGGUGGGGAUGACGA